This 433-nucleotide ribosomal RNA is filed under the name uncultured bacterium. Its description in RNAcentral is "partial 16S ribosomal RNA". It matches the Rfam family "Bacterial small subunit ribosomal RNA", at positions 29 to 507 of the family's 1533-position model. The record is from RNAcentral.
AACGAACGCUGGCGGCAUGCCUAACACAUGCAAGUCGAACGAGACCUUCGGGUCUAGUGGCGCACGGGUGCGUAACGCGUGGGAACCUGCACUUAGGUUCGGAAUAACUCCCCGAAAGGGGUGAUAAUACCGGAUAAUGUCUUCGGACCAAAGAUUUAUCGCCUUUGGAUGGGCCCGCGUUGGAUUAGCUAGUUGGUAGGGUAAAAGCCUACCAAGGCGACGAUCCAUAGCUGGUCUGAGAGGAUGAUCAGCCACACUGGGACUGAGACACGGCCCAGACUCCUACGGGAGGCAGCAGUGGGGAAUAUUGGACAAUGGGCGAAAGCCUGAUCCAGCAAUGCCGCGUGAGUGAUGAAGGCCUUAGGGUUGUAAAGCUCUUUUACCCGGGAUGAUAAUGACAGUACCGGGAGAAUAAGCUCCGGCUAACUCCGUG